Molecule: ribosomal RNA, 1801 nt
Filed under: Klebsiella pneumoniae
Lineage: Bacteria; Pseudomonadati; Pseudomonadota; Gammaproteobacteria; Enterobacterales; Enterobacteriaceae
Also listed under: 2 other names
Description: partial 23S ribosomal RNA
Rfam family: Bacterial large subunit ribosomal RNA
Source: RNAcentral
GGGACACGUGGUAUCCUGUCUGAAUAUGGGGGGACCAUCCUCCAAGGCUAAAUACUCCUGACUGACCGAUAGUGAACCAGUACCGUGAGGGAAAGGCGAAAAGAACCCCGGCGAGGGGAGUGAAAAAGAACCUGAAACCGUGUACGUACAAGCAGUGGGAGCACCUUCGGGUGUGACUGCGUACCUUUUGUAUAAUGGGUCAGCGACUUAUAUUCUGUAGCAAGGUUAACCGUAUAGGGGAGCCGCAGGGAAACCGAGUCUUAACUGGGCGUUAAGUUGCAGGGUAUAGACCCGAAACCCGGUGAUCUAGCCAUGGGCAGGUUGAAGGUUGGGUAACACUAACUGGAGGACCGAACCGACUAAUGUUGAAAAAUUAGCGGAUGACUUGUGGCUGGGGGUGAAAGGCCAAUCAAACCGGGAGAUAGCUGGUUCUCCCCGAAAGCUAUUUAGGUAGCGCCUCGUGAACUCAUCUUCGGGGGUAGAGCACUGUUUCGGCUAGGGGGUCAUCCCGACUUACCAACCCGAUGCAAACUACGAAUACCGAAGAAUGUUAUCACGGGAGACACACGGCGGGUGCUAACGUCCGUCGUGAAGAGGGAAACAACCCAGACCGCCAGCUAAGGUCCCAAAGUCAUGGUUAAGUGGGAAACGAUGUGGGAAGGCACAGACAGCCAGGAUGUUGGCUUAGAAGCAGCCAUCAUUUAAAGAAAGCGUAAUAGCUCACUGGUCGAGUCGGCCUGCGCGGAAGAUGUAACGGGGCUAAACCAUGCACCGAAGCUGCGGCAGCGACACUAUGUGUUGUUGGGUAGGGGAGCGUUCUGUAAGCCUGCGAAGGUGACCUGUGAGGGUUGCUGGAGGUAUCAGAAGUGCGAAUGCUGACAUAAGUAACGAUAAAGCGGGUGAAAAGCCCGCUCGCCGGAAGACCAAGGGUUCCUGUCCAACGUUAAUCGGGGCAGGGUGAGUCGACCCCUAAGGCGAGGCCGAAAGGCGUAGUCGAUGGGAAACAGGUUAAUAUUCCUGUACUUGGUGUUACUGCGAAGGGGGGACGGAGAAGGCUAUGUUAGCCGGGCGACGGUUGUCCCGGUUUAAGCAUGUAGGCUGGUUAUCCAGGCAAAUCCGGAUAAUCAAGGCUGAGGUGUGAUGACGAGGCACUACGGUGCUGAAGUAACAAAUGCCCUGCUUCCAGGAAAAGCCUCUAAGCAUCAGGUAACAUCAAAUCGUACCCCAAACCGACACAGGUGGUCAGGUAGAGAAUACCAAGGCGCUUGAGAGAACUCGGGUGAAGGAACUAGGCAAAAUGGUGCCGUAACUUCGGGAGAAGGCACGCUGGUGUGUAGGUGAAGUCCCUGCGGAUGGAGCUGAGACCAGUCGAAGAUACCAGCUGGCUGCAACUGUUUAUUAAAAACACAGCACUGUGCAAACACGAAAGUGGACGUAUACGGUGUGACGCCUGCCCGGUGCCGGAAGGUUAAUUGAUGGGGUUAUCCGUAAGGAGAAGCUCUUGAUCGAAGCCCCGGUAAACGGCGGCCGUAACUAUAACGGUCCUAAGGUAGCGAAAUUCCUUGUCGGGUAAGUUCCGACCUGCACGAAUGGCGUAAUGAUGGCCAGGCUGUCUCCACCCGAGACUCAGUGAAAUUGAACUCGCUGUGAAGAUGCAGUGUACCCGCGGCAAGACGGAAAGACCCCGUGAACCUUUACUAUAGCUUGACACUGAACAUUGAGCCUUGAUGUGUAGGAUAGGUGGGAGGCUUUGAAGCGUGGACGCCAGUCUGCGUGGAGCCAACCUUGAAAUACCACCCUU